MicroRNA precursor from Medicago truncatula (barrel medic), 78 nucleotides. It matches the Rfam family "MIR5286 microRNA precursor family". The record is from Rfam. Lineage: Eukaryota; Viridiplantae; Streptophyta; Magnoliopsida; Fabales; Fabaceae.
AACAACUCCAGUUGUUCAGUGUUUGAUUUGUAAAACUGUUUCAGGCACAGGACAAACUGGAGGUAAGAGACAAGAUAA